GCAUUUAAUUACUUAUUUACUUCUUAGUUUUCUAGUUUUUACAGUUUAGUUAGGUUUUCUAGUAAGGUAGUUUGCUAAUUUUAUAGAAACUUUGUUUUGUACUGCUUCUUUUUGUUAUUUCUCAGUUUUAAUCUUCAAUUGACAUUGUUUUAUACUUGUUUGCAUAUUCAUAUCAUGAUUCCAUCCAUUGUAUAUCAUAGAAACACAUUCUGCAUAACAAAGCAUGCAUUGCACAAGCUGUUAAAACGCUGAUACACCCUGGUUUGUUGCCAAAUCUUGUUUAAAAGUGUAUUAUGUGAAUUUUGAGGGUUUUUAUAGUUCUUAAUUCAUAUCAUGUAUAAUUUUGGGUAUAUAAACAUGUUCCAUUCAUUAGUUUUGCAUAAAACACAAUUAUAGUCUCAUAGGCAUUUCAUCAAACACCUUGUUCAUUUUCUGUUUUAACUUUUAGGCAAUAACAGUUUGGUAUUUCGCAUUUCUGCACUGUUUUAGGUAGAAUUAGAACCCAAAUCAUGUUCCAUUCAUAUUUUCAUGAUGAUUAUCAUAUUAUUCACUCAUCAUACAUCUUUUUAACAACAUUUGUGCAUUGAUUUGAGCAUUCCUUCAUAAUUUGCUGAUAUGCAUUGUCACAUUCAGUGCAUCUGUUUAUCUUGUUUUUAGUUCCUUUGCAUGAGUUUCUUUCAUUUUUUUUUAGAUUAGUUAUCAUGUUUUGUAGUUUCCCCAUCCUUUGCUUUAUUUUCAUGAUUAGACUCACAAAUUAGCUACGGAGUUCCUCGGAUUGAUACUCAGGUUUCACCUACGCUACAUUAAGGGAGAAUUUGAUUUUGUUUGGAGUUAUAUGUGACUAUGGCCUGUAACAAUUUUGUUUAAUUGGGUGUCUUGUAUCGUCUAGUGCUAACAAUCAGAACCAAGGAACCCAAGUUAAUUCUUGAUUGAAUGACUGUAUAGAGAAGCAAGAAAGCAGUAACCAAAGUUCUUGUUAAAUGGAAGCAUCAAUUGCUUGAAGAUGCUAUGUGAGAGUUCUUCUAUGAUCUCCAAAAGAACUAUCUAGAGUUUAAUCCUUGAGUACAAUGAUUUUGUUAACGAGGGUCCUGCUGCAUGUGGAUUCCCCAACUACAAAGACAACUUCUUAGGUGGUUUUGCAUCUUACAUUCGAGAGGAACCGUUAUACAUGUUGAAAUUAUUGCUAUUAUCUUGACUUUGGAAAUAGUGGAGAAAAAGUGGUGGAAUUAUGUCUAGCUCGAAUGUGACUCUCAAUUAGUCAUCUUAAAAACUUAAUAAUGACUAUAUCGUUCCUUGGAAGCUCUGUGCGAGAUGGCGUAAAUGUCUGCUUAUUUUCUCUUUUUUAAUGUUUUGCUCCUCUUAUAUUUUUAAAGAAGGAAACAAUUUUACAGAUAAACUAGGGAAUUAUAAUUACUAGAGUGAUGUGCCAAAUUUUGUAGUUAUGAUUUCUAUGGGAAUAGAACUAGCAUGUGGUUCUUUCAUUGUGUAAUUUUAUAUUUUUUGAGUAUUGGUCCCUUCGAAAUCUUUAGUCCCUUUUCUCCUUCAAUAAAGACUUAUAAUGUAGUUUUAGACAUCAUACUUUCCG
RNAcentral lists this small RNA (1585 nucleotides) under Vigna angularis var. angularis. RNAcentral's name for it is "Non-protein coding transcript". Lineage: Eukaryota; Viridiplantae; Streptophyta; Magnoliopsida; Fabales; Fabaceae. The record is from RNAcentral.